RNAcentral lists this ribosomal RNA (378 nucleotides) under uncultured bacterium. RNAcentral describes it as "bacterial SSU rRNA". It matches the Rfam family "Bacterial small subunit ribosomal RNA", at positions 28 to 410 of the family's 1533-position model. The record is from RNAcentral.
GACGAACGCUGGCGGCGUGCUUAACACAUGCAAGUCGAGCGGAAAGGCCCUUCGGGGUACUCGAGCGGCGAACGGGUGAGUAACACGUGGGUAACCUGCCUCAGACUCUGGGAUAACUCCGGGAAACCGGGGCUAAUACUGGAUAUGACCACUAACCGCAUGGUUUGGUGGUGGAAAGUUUUUCGGUCUGAGAUGGGCCCGCGGCCUAUCAGCUUGUUGGUGGGGUGAUGGCCUACCAAGGCGACGACGGGUAGCCGGCCUGAGAGGGCGACCGGCCACACUGGGACUGAGACACGGCCCAGACUCCUACGGGAGGCAGCAGUGGGGAAUCUUGCGCAAUGGGCGGAAGCCUGACGCAGCAACGCCGCGUGAGGGAUG